Molecule: ribosomal RNA, 303 nt
Filed under: uncultured bacterium
Lineage: Bacteria
Description: bacterial SSU rRNA
Rfam family: Bacterial small subunit ribosomal RNA
Source: RNAcentral
UGGGGGAUAUUGCACAAUGGGGGAAACCCUGAUGCAGCGACGCCGCGUGGGCGAAGAAGUAUUUCGGUAUGUAAAGCCCUAUCAGCAGGGAAGAAGAAAUGACGGUACCUGAGUAAGAAGCACCGGCUAAAUACGUGCCAGCAGCCGCGGUAAUACGUAUGGUGCAAGCGUUAUCCGGAUUUACUGGGUGUAAAGGGAGCGCAGGCGGCACGGCAAGCCUGAUGUGAAAGCCCGCGGCCCAACCGCGGGACUGCAUUGGGAACUACCGGGCUGGAGUGCCGGAGAGGUAGGCGGAAUUCCUAG